RNAcentral lists this ribosomal RNA (465 nucleotides) under Vreelandella stevensii. RNAcentral describes it as "partial 16S ribosomal RNA". It matches the Rfam family "Bacterial small subunit ribosomal RNA", at positions 338 to 795 of the family's 1533-position model. The record is from RNAcentral. Lineage: Bacteria; Pseudomonadati; Pseudomonadota; Gammaproteobacteria; Oceanospirillales; Halomonadaceae.
CCUACGGGGCGCAGCAGUGGGGAAUAUUGGACAAUGGGCGAAAGCCUGAUCCAGCCAUGCCGCGUGUGUGAAGAAGGCCUUCGGGUUGUAAAGCACUUUCAGUGGGGAAGAAAGCCUUGGGGCUAAUACCCUCGAGGAAGGACAUCACCCACAGAAGAAGCACCGGCUAACUCCGUGCCAGCAGCCGCGGUAAUACGGAGGGUGCGAGCGUUAAUCGGAAUUACUGGGCGUAAAGCGCGCGUAGGCGGUCUGAUAAGCCGGUUGUGAAAGCCCCGGGCUCAACCUGGGAACGGCAUCCGGAACUGUCAGGCUAGAGUGCAGGAGAGGAAGGUAGAAUUCCCGGUGUAGCGGUGAAAUGCGUAGAGAUCGGGAGGAAUACCAGUGGCGAAGGCGGCCUUCUGGACUGACACUGACGCUGAGGUGCGAAAGCGUGGGUAGCAAACAGGAUUAGAUACCCCAGUAGUC